GACGAACGCUGGCGGCGUGCUUAACACAUGCAAGUCGAACGGAAAGGCCCUGCUUUUGUGGGGUGCUCGAGUGGCGAACGGGUGAGUAACACGUGAGUAACCUGCCCUUGACUUUGGGAUAACUUCAGGAAACUGGGGCUAAUACCGGAUAGGAGCUCCUGCUGCAUGGUGGGGGUUGGAAAGUUUCGGCGGUUGGGGAUGGACGCGCGGCUUAUCAGCUUGUUGGUGGGGUAGUGGCUUACCAAGGCUUUGACGGGUAGCCGGCCUGAGAGGGUGACCGGCCACGUUUGCAAUGAGAUACGGCCCAGACUCCUACGGGACACAGCAGUGGGGAAUAUUGCACAAUGGGCGGAAGCGUGAUGAAGCCACGCCGCGUGUGGGAUGCCGGCCUUCGGGUUGAAAACCGCUUUCGCCUGUGACGAAGCGUGAGUGGCGGUCAUGGGUAAAGAAGCACCGGAGAACUACG
RNAcentral lists this ribosomal RNA (466 nucleotides) under uncultured bacterium. Its description in RNAcentral is "partial 16S ribosomal RNA". It matches the Rfam family "Bacterial small subunit ribosomal RNA", at positions 28 to 505 of the family's 1533-position model. The record is from RNAcentral.